CUGUCUCUCUUCAGUCUUGUCUCUGUCUUCCUGAAAUGCUUGAGCUUUAUAAAUCAGGUGUAUUAAAGGUUUUAUAUGUGAAGCUGCAUAUGACUGCUAUCCCCUCCACAUUUCUCUCUCUCUCUCUUUUACUCUCUUUCUCAUUUUUAAUCCUCCUCUCACAGAAAGCACUCUGCACAUGUCUUAAAAGUGAGUCAGUGAAUAAAAGGCCGUUUGAUGUUUUUUUUUAUUCUAGCUGCACUUUCAUUGCUGCGUGAAAUUAAUAUCUUUGCUAACAGCUGUCCAAAGGAGGUGUAGUGUGCUCUCUGAUCUGUUUAAAACAGCCACAGGUCCACAUGAAUGCACUGUUUCCAUCCUUUCAGCCAUUAAUGGCUGUUAACAUGUUCCAUUUUCUCUAUCAAUCACAAUCUGAGUGUGUGAUGGUGAGUUUAGUGGCUUCCAUUCGAUUUGCUUUGAAGGGAGUUUUCAGAAUGCUGAGGUCAGCUGUGAUUGGGGUGUGUUUAGGGGUGGAGCUAGAGGUGUGGUUUGGGCAGAGCCAUAGAGAGAGAGAGUUGCGACAACUCCAUAGACUCCAAUGGAACGUUUUUUUACAGCAAUGGCGGCUCGUGGAGCCUCUCAAUAGUUCCCGGAAGUAGCAGCCGCGCCGUAGAGUUACAGCAGAACAGACCGUUUGUGAUGUACUUUUAAAAGCACAAAGGGGAUUCAGAUCCUGAAGACUCCAUGCAAUGAUGCUGUCACCGCCAGUCUCUGCUCCUUGGAUUUUGCAAGCUUUUCCUUGCUCCUUAUUUUUAAUAAACCUUUAAUAAACAUAAAAA
Molecule: long non-coding RNA, 815 nt
Organism: Megalobrama amblycephala (Wuchang bream)
Lineage: Eukaryota; Metazoa; Chordata; Actinopteri; Cypriniformes; Xenocyprididae
Exons: 2
Source: RefSeq, a predicted model, not a curated record